Lethenteron reissneri (Far Eastern brook lamprey) is the source of this 515-nucleotide long non-coding RNA. RefSeq lists it as uncharacterized. The record is from RefSeq and is a predicted model, not a curated record. NCBI's taxonomy places the organism in Eukaryota, Metazoa, Chordata, Hyperoartia, Petromyzontiformes, Petromyzontidae.
CCUCACUUUGGCCAGAGGAGACGACCGCCCUCUCCGCGCGCUGAACGCGUCUCCAGCAGCUCGCAGGCUUCAGCGAGAGCCGUUCGACAUCUCCAUUGUCACGUGAUCUCUUAACGUGUCGGACCGCAACCCCAGAGUUGUAGGUGGCUGGUGAAACAAGGCCCUCAGGGACCUACAGUUUUCAGAUGCCGCCAACUCCUAUUCAGGUGAAGACCUUGGGCCAAGCUGUGGAGCUUUGGGAACCUUCGAGUGAACUCAGCAGAGGAAUUGAAGACGUCCGAUCGGCUUCUCCCUCCGCUCUAUGCAAAGACUGAAUUUGGACAAGAUGCACUUGGACUUAUGGAGUUGCGCGCCUGGACUGUGGCCACUCACCUCCGGCAGGGCUCCUAACUCUUGGUGCAGAGCGGACUCAUGACGUUCAACAUACAAAGAUGAAGACAAACAACCGGCCGGUGUCUAUCUCAUGCGACUCACAGCCGCUCUUCUCUGGGCUGCGACGCGUUCACCGGGUGCCA